RNAcentral lists this ribosomal RNA (396 nucleotides) under uncultured bacterium. Its description in RNAcentral is "bacterial SSU rRNA". It matches the Rfam family "Bacterial small subunit ribosomal RNA", at positions 28 to 413 of the family's 1533-position model. The record is from RNAcentral.
GAUGAACGCUAGCGGCAGGCUUAACACAUGCAAGUCGAGGGGCAGCGUGAGGGUUAGCAAUAACCCUUGACGGCGACCGGCGCAAGGGUGCGUAACGCGUGAGCAACUUGCCCUUAUCAGGGGGAUAACCGGUGGAAACGCCGACUAAUACCCCAUGGCAUUGGUUGGAGGCAUCUCCUUCCAAUUAAAGAGUUUCGGAUAAGGAUAGGCUCGCGUGACAUUAGCUAGACGGCGGGGUAACGGCCCACCGUGGCAACGAUGUCUAGGGGUUCUGAGAGGAAGGUCCCCCACACUGGAACUGAGACACGGUCCAGACCUCCGUACGGGAGGCAGCAGUGAGGAAUAUGGUACAAGUGGGCGCGAGCCUGAACCAGCCAAGUAGCGUGAAGGAUGACU